AAAGUACUCCCUCCGUUCCAAAAUUCUUGUCUUCAAUUUGUCUAAAUGCGGAUGUAUUUAGUCACGUUUUAGUGUUAGAUACUUUCUAUCUUGAUGAAUCUAAGACGAGAAUUUUGGGACGGAGGGAGUACAUG
Triticum aestivum (bread wheat) is the source of this 134-nucleotide non-coding RNA. NCBI's taxonomy places the organism in Eukaryota, Viridiplantae, Streptophyta, Magnoliopsida, Poales, Poaceae. The record is from Rfam.